Small nucleolar RNA from Rhododendron vialii, 108 nucleotides. RefSeq annotates it as small nucleolar RNA snoR100. The record is from RefSeq and is a predicted model, not a curated record. Lineage: Eukaryota; Viridiplantae; Streptophyta; Magnoliopsida; Ericales; Ericaceae. The transcript has a single exon.
CAAUGCAGGAAACAUGGUAAUGUGCAAAGAAAUUGAAUUGGGUCUUUAGGCCUACCCUCUCUGAUGCCAUCUGGCUUUGAUUUGGGGACACGGUUCCGCAGAAAAAAA